UGUCAGUCCUACAGAUACUCAAAUCAAGUAGAUCUGUGAUUGUGUAAAAAGUCCCGGUGCAUGGGAGGUUCGAACUUCUCCUUGCCUUGUUCAAUCUUCGGGCUAGGGUUUAAGCGAGGUUCCAAGAGCUUCUGGUUUCUAAAACAGAUUUAAGCCCACUAUUAGGGUGACCGGGCCGAACAGGGCGAAUUCCCAUCCCUGUUCCGAUGCACCUAUAUCUCCACCCUUUAAAUUU
This 235-nucleotide long non-coding RNA is filed under the name Carica papaya (papaya). Its description in RNAcentral is "long non-coding RNA (CPAP_LNC015609)". Lineage: Eukaryota; Viridiplantae; Streptophyta; Magnoliopsida; Brassicales; Caricaceae. The record is from RNAcentral.